GUCCAACCUGCCCAGUGAACUAAUUUUAAACGGCCGCGGUAUCCUAACCGUGCAAAGGUAGCAUAAUCACUUGUCCCUUAAAUAGAGACUCGUAUGAACGGUUACAUGAGGGCAUAACUGUCUCCUGUGGCCAAUCAAUGAAUUUGAGCUCACAGUACAAACGCUGUAAUAGAACUAUAAGACGAGAAGACCCUGUGGAGCUUUAAAUACACCACAUUAACUAAUUUAUUAUUAGCAUAAUGUAAAUUUUAAGUUGGGGCGACUAUGGAGUAAAAUUUAACCUCCAUGUAACACGACUAAACUCGUUAUUUAAGGCUUACAAGCCUAACCAAACAAAUGACCCAGUCAAACUGACUAACGAACCAAGUUACCCCAGGGAUAACAGCGCCAUCCCCUUAAAGAGUCCACAUCACCAAGGGGGUUUACGACCUCGAUGUUGGAUCAGGACACCCAAGUGGUGCAGCAGCUACUAAAGGUUCGUUUGUUCAACGAG
Molecule: ribosomal RNA, 493 nt
Filed under: Phelsuma parva
Lineage: Eukaryota; Metazoa; Chordata; Lepidosauria; Squamata; Gekkonidae
Description: partial 16S ribosomal RNA
Rfam family: Bacterial large subunit ribosomal RNA
Source: RNAcentral